CGGUUGGUCCUACCGGACCCGACCGCUAUUUGGGUGAGGAUAAGCCAUGCAAGCCGAAUGGGAUACCUAAAUAUCCCAUGGCAAACUGCUCAGUAACACAUGAUCAACUUGCCCUAUAGAGAAAAAUAACCUCGGGAAACUGAGGAUAAUUUUUCAUAGUUGAAUUGGCUUGGAAAAGUUAUUCAACAAAAAUGAUAAGAAAAAUGGUUCUUAUCAGCUAUAGGAUAGGAUCGUGUUCGAUUAUGGUUGUUGGUGAGGUAACGGCUCACCAAGCCGAUAAUCGAUAGGGGCCGUGAGAGCGGGAGCCCCGAGAUGGGUACUGAGACAACGACCCAGGCCUUACGAGGCGCAGCAGGCGCGAAACCUCCGCAAUACACGAAAGUGUGACGGGGUUACCCAAAGUGUUCAUUUAUGAACUGUGGUAGGUGAGUAAUGUCCCCUACUAGAAAGGAGAGGGCAAGGCUGGUGCCAGCCGCCGCGGUAAAACCAGCUCUUCAAGUGGUCGGGAUAAUUAUUGGGCUUAAAGUGUCCGUAGCCGGUUUAGUAAGUUCCUGGUAAAAUCGGGUAGCUUAACUAUCUAUAUGCUAGGAAUACUACUAUACUAGAGGGCGGGAGAGGUCUGAGGUACUACAGGGGUAGGGGUGAAAUCUUAUAAUCCUUGUAGGACCACCAGUGGCGAAGGCGUCAGACCGGAACGCGCCUGACGGUGAGGGACGAAAGCCAGGGGAGCGAACCGGAUUAGAUACCCGGGUAGUCCUGGCCGUAAACGAUGCAUACUAGGUGAUGGUACGGCCAUGAGCCGUAUCAGUGCCGUAGGGAAACCGUUAAGUGUGCCGCCUGGGAAGUACGGUCGCAAGGCUAAAACUUAAAGGAAUUGGCGGGGGAGCAC
This 889-nucleotide ribosomal RNA is filed under the name uncultured archaeon. RNAcentral's name for it is "bacterial SSU rRNA". It matches the Rfam family "Archaeal small subunit ribosomal RNA", at positions 5 to 879 of the family's 1478-position model. The record is from RNAcentral.